UAACGGGAGGUGUUCAUGUCAUUAGAGCUCUUCCCUCAUGCUUCUGCUAUGUGAAGAACAGUGUUUCUCUCCUACAGAGGAUGCAGUGUCCAGGGCAUCAUCUAUGAAUGGAGACAGCCUUUACCGGACACCAAACCUACCAGCACCAUGAUCUUGAACUUACCAGCCUCCUGAACUGGCUCAGGGAGGACUGACAGGACUAGAGUUGACAACCAUUCAUCCAACAAACAUUUACUGCACGAGGAAGAGAGGUGAUCAAGGCACUGCCCUUGUCCCCAGGAAGCUCGCCAGUGCAUGGGACUGUGCAGGUGUCUUCACCUCUGCAUUAGGCAUUCAAUGUCAGGCCAUGGCUGAGCAUCCAUCCUCUCUAUGCUAAUUUUUUCCAAAAGUCAAGAGUUUGGAAGAACACUAAUGUGUUUUUCUUCCAGCCUUUCCUAUACAAAUGACAACAUCAUUACCCUCAGCUUUUAAAGUGCAAGUCUGUACAGGGAUCCCAGAGUCAAGGAGGGCGCCUGAGUCAUUUGAAAUAAUUACCUUUUUUUUUCCUGCCUGAGUCUUGCAUAUCUGUGAAUCAGCAAUGUGGAAACUGGGCUUCAAAAAAAUUAAGGGAGGCUUAAAGUGAGCAAAGCAGAGAAGAGCAUUGGCAAGAGUUGAGCGCUGCCACAGCAGGAACAUCAUGCCGAUCGUCAUCUAAGGGAGCUCAUGGCGCUGUCUGACUCCUCUUAGCAACAUCCACACAGGCUGGUACAGUCAGAUCAUUGUGACUUGGACAGGGAUGAAAAUACUCAGCUGACACCAAUAGCUCCCAGCACAGCCAGGGUAUUCUAGAGGUGUGUGGUGUCAGGACAGCCUGUGUGGCCUCAUUUAUUUACCUGAGUCAUCUGAACAAAGCGGUGACUGGCUUUGCCUGGCUCUGGCAAGAACUCGCAACAAAGCCAAAGCCUCUUCCUCCACGGCCUUUGCUCCUGCAGCACAGCACUGGCAUCUUUUUAGCAUCAUAGACACUGUCACGUGGCAAUCAAUGACAGAUGAACUGUCCCUUCCCUGGGCCACAAGCUCUUCAAGGCGGGAGCCUCAGCCCAGUUUCUUCCAUGUCUCCAGCGCCCAGCACAGGGCCUGGCUUCUAGCUGGUUUCUGAUGAAUAAACGAAUGGCUAUAGAGAUGUACUCUUCAAAACACAAGGGGCUUCUAUAGUGGCAGCAUGUUCAGUAGCACAGUGCUGUAUUGGUUCUUUACAGCUUGCAGGACCCAAAGAAGGAAUGAUUUUUGUUUCCCGGGAAAGGUGUACCUCGUGGGGGCACUGCUCAAGGGAAGGUGCCCACAAGUUGGGGAUCAAGGGAGGCACAGGUUGAUCAAGGCCCCUGGAACUGAAAUGGAGGUGUUCAUCCUGCGGAGGCUCCGAACAUCUGAGGCAGAGCCUCGAUUCUCCAGGAAAUUGACUUUGCCGGAGAACAAGGCUGGAGGAGGCAGGCUGUCCUAGGGGAGGAGUCGUAUUUCAGCCCCACUGAGACCCCAAAGGCGCACUCCCAUGCUUUACCCCAGCUAUCCACUAGGGGGCAGGCAGAGGCAAGAGAAGAGGAAAGCGGGCGGCUGGUCAGGCCCAGCACAUCCAGCCUGGCAUCCCACACGCUGGGCUGCCUGACUCAGACAAAGCCAGGCCGCUCCUCCUGCCUGUUGUGGCCUCUGUGAUUUUAUAUGGUUUGGCCUGUGACAUCAGACACCACGCGACCAUGGUAACCAAAGUAUACAGCCUGGAGUGAAUGUUAAUAAACAGGAAAGAAACGAUACCUGGUGUCUUGCUUUACUCACCAUUUCCGGUCUUGUUAUCCACGCCUAACGUCUCCUUUAUUACCACGAGCAAUCGAGAUGUACCUGAAUUCAGCAACUUUUAAAAAUGAGAAGCUAAACUGGGGAAAUAUUUGGAGAGACAGCUGGGAGCCUCUGAUGUGAAAAUAAAAAAUUUACAACAACAAGCAAGCUGUCCUCUGACACCAGGAGAGGAACUCGCUUCAGCCCUGGCAAGAAUUGCAGCUGGACUUUGUGAAGCACUGUUUCAUCAGAUGCCAAACGUCAUAGCAAGGGCAAGAAUGACAAGAAUUACAGUUUCUGCCCUGAUGCACAGGUACUGAUGGAAGAGAUAUUUCUGUGUUGAUUUUGCACUUCUCAGGGCAAAUCUGCAAAAUAGAUAUCAAAGGAGAUGUGGGCACUGGGCAAGGAGCCACACCAAUCAACCAUAUAGAGCAGUCUGGAGGAGUCUCUCCCCAUCUCCAACCCUCAGUUUUUCCCACCUGUUAAACACAGGCCACAAUGUCUGUGCAGCCACCUCGCAGUGCAGUUAAAAGAACCGGUUUAAACAGUGUUUCUUAGCUUAGAGUCAAUGGCUGAACAGGUUGCAGAGGGGCUGUAAAAUCCUGAAAUCUGCAUGAAGCAAUUUUUCCAUAUAUGUCCAUGUGCAUCUUUCUGAGGAGGGGUUUGUCGCUUUCACUAUAUUCUUAAGAAUAUAGUCACUCUUAAGAGGUUAAGGGCCACUGUUCUAGGUAAUGUGUGAAGGUGAUGUAUGUGUCCUGUAAUUGAGCUAUUAUCAGCAAGCUUUUUGAGGAGAAAGGGACACAGAGGAGCACCUAUUAUGUGUUAGGGACUGUGCAGGACACAGAGAGAAUAGAAAAAAAAUGACCCUGGCCUUCUGGAGCAUAUGAUAGACUUUAGAUAUGAGCCCAAAACAGAUUAAAAGUUAAAAGGAAAAGCUAAGUAUAGGCAACACAGGUGAAAGGUCAGAAGAAUGUAAGUGCCCCAUAGAAGGAGAGAAAUGGACUUCCAGCUACAGUGGGUUUAGGGACGGACACAGAGCGAGGGUGGGAUCGAGUACAGGGAAAGGCAGGCAAGAGCAUCUGUGGAAGACGGAUGGCCGGUGCAGCAGAGCUUGCAUGCUGAGUUGACACGCUCCAUGCCAGAGACCCUUAGAUUGGGACUAAGUGUCACCGAAGAGAAGGCUGCGUUCAACAGAUGGUUCUCAGGGUGACAGUUCAUCCCAGGUGCCCUCAGACCCACAUGACCUGCUCUUGGUCCUUCAGCCUCCGCUCUGCAGAUGGGGCUGAGGGGCCCACCCAGAGAAGCCCUGUGGGGGAGAACAGAGCCUGCCCAGGACAGAUAUUCUCCUCCUUAGGAGCAAGUCCUCUUGACCCCCACGUUCCAAGCAGGAAGCUUUUCACAUGUAGACUUUCUUCCUGCUGUGAUGCACAAAAGCAGCCUCUUCCCAGUUAACAAAGUCUGAUGGAGCCUCCUGGGGCCAUGCCUAGCACAUCGUUACCCGAAGCAGACUAGGCAAACAAAGCCCUAGAAAAUGAGAACAAAUGGAAAUGAUUUGAUAUUUUAGAAAAAAAUAUUGAAGUGUUUAUCGUGGGGAAAACUGGAACCCUGUUAAUAUUUUUACUAGUAUUGUAUGGCAUGGCAGUUUCUAAAUUCUGCAUGUGGUGGGGCUACUGUAACUCUUUCUGGGCAGAGGACUGUGUGAUGAUUCUACUCAGACCCUGGCUCCACAGACUAGCAAGGCCGCCCCUUCCCAAGUCAGCAAUUGUCCAGGACCAAAUGGUCAUUUCUCCACUCCUCUGGGACUCUGAAAGAGCAUUCUCCAGAGCUCUUGGGAUCUUGCCUUGGCUCUGUGGAUGUAAGAUCCCAAAUUCUUUCUAGAACGUACUCUUGAAGACUGAGUUGACUCUGGAGAUCAGUGUAGGAUCACUGUCCCCACUUUGCAGCCCCAAACCCACUUCCCAAGGGAGUAAUUCAUUACCUGCAGUCCUGCUUACUCAAAGGGAAUGUCUAAUGACAUCUGCUCUGCAGCACCUGAGGACCUGAGACCAGGACUCCUGGCCUCUUUUCAGAAAGAGUGGAGUCUGCCAUUUCCUGACCACCGCCCUGUCCUCAAGGGCAGCUCGUCUCCUGUGUUACAUUCCUGCAUGAACCCCCGCCCUGAUCCUGUGACUUGUCAUGUGCCACAGUGCCAUGAGAUUUGUGUUACUUUGCUUCUGUUCCUGAAAGUUAUCAGUUCCCCUUUUCAUCCUAUCACUGCCUGGUUGAAUGAUGAGGGUCCCUGAGGGGAACUGGGUCUCUUCUUUCUGUUCACGGGUACCAGAAGAA
Long non-coding RNA from Gorilla gorilla gorilla (western lowland gorilla), 4134 nucleotides. RefSeq lists it as uncharacterized. The transcript has 3 exons. Lineage: Eukaryota; Metazoa; Chordata; Mammalia; Primates; Hominidae. The record is from RefSeq and is a predicted model, not a curated record.